UGAAGUUUCUUCGGAAAUGGAUUAGCGGCGAACGGGUGAGGAACACGUGAAGAAUCUGCCCUCCACUUUGGGAUAACACCGGGAAACCGGUGCUAAUACCGAAUAUUGAAACAUAAGUGGCAUCACUGAGUUUUGAAAGAAUUUCGGUGGAGGAUGACUUCGCGGCCUAUCAGCUAGUUGGUGAGGUAAUGGCUCACCAAGGCAACGACGGGUAGCCGGCCUGAGAGGGCGACCGGCCACACUGGGACUGAGACACGGCCCAGACUCCUACGGGAGGCAGCAGUGGGGAAUAUUGGGCAAUGGAGGAAACUCUGACCCAGCGACGCCGCGUGCGGGAUGAAGGCCUUCGGGUUGUAAACCGCUUUCAGUAGGGAAGAAGCGAAAGUGACGGUACCUACAAAAGAAGCACCGGCUAACUAUGUGCCAGCAGCCGCGGUAAUACAUAGGGUGCAAGCGUUGUCCGGAAUUAUUGGGCGUAAAGAGCUCGUAGGUCGUUUGUUACGUCGGAUGUGAAAUCCUGAGGCUCAACCUCAGGCCUGCAUUCGAUACGGGCAAACUAGAGUUUGGUAGGGGAGACUGGAAUUCCUGGUGUAGCGGUGGAAUGCGCAGAUAUCAGGAGGAACACCAAUGGCGAAGGCAGGUCUCUGGGCCAAUACUGACACUGAGGAGCGAAAGUCUGGGGAGCGAACAGGAUUAGAUACCCUGGUAGUCCAGACCGUAAACGGUGGGCACUAGUUGUGGGAACCUUCCACGGUUUCUGCGACGCAGCUAACGCAUUAAGUGCCCCGCCUGGGGAGUACGAUCGCAAGAUUAAAACUCAAAGGAAUUGACGGGGCCCCGCACAAGCAGCGGAGCAUGCGGCUUAAUUCGACGCAACGCGAAGAACCUUACCAAGGCUUGACAUAUAGGGAAAAGUGGCCAGAGAUGUCAUGUCCGCAA
Molecule: ribosomal RNA, 939 nt
Filed under: uncultured Actinomycetes bacterium
Lineage: Bacteria; Bacillati; Actinomycetota; Actinomycetes
Description: bacterial SSU rRNA
Rfam family: Bacterial small subunit ribosomal RNA
Source: RNAcentral